UGCAGUCGAGCGACAGAUAAGGAGCUUGCUCCUUUGACGUUAGCGGCGGACGGGUGAGUAACACGUGGGUAACCUACCUAUAAGACUGGGAUAACUUCGGGAAACCGGAGCUAAUACCGGAUAACAUUUGGAACCGCAUGGUUCUAAAGUGAAAGAUGGUUUUGCUAUCACUUAUAGAUGGACCCGCGCCGUAUUAGCUAGUUGGUAAGGUAACGGCUUACCAAGGCGACGAUACGUAGCCGACCUGAGAGGGUGAUCGGCCACACUGGAACUGAGACACGGUCCAGACUCCUACGGGAGGCAGCAGUAGGGAAUCUUCCGCAAUGGGCGAAAGCCUGACGGAGCAACGCCGCGUGAGUGAUGAAGGGUUUCGGCUCGUAAAACUCUGUUAUUAGGGAAGAACAAACGUGUAAGUAACUGUGCACGUCUUGACGGUACCUAAUCAGAAAGCCACGGCUAACUACGUGCCAGCAGCCGCGGUAAUACGUAGGUGGCAAGCGUUAUCCGGAAUUAUUGGGCGUAAAGCGCGCGUAGGCGGUUUCUUAAGUCUGAUGUGAAAGCCCACGGCUCAACCGUGGAGGGUCAUUGGAAACUGGGAAACUUGAGUGCAGAAGAGGAAAGUGGAAUUCCAUGUGUAGCGGUGAAAUGCGCAGAGAUAUGGAGGAACACCAGUGGCGAAGGCGACUUUCUGGUCUGUAACUGACGCUGAUGUGCGAAAGCGUGGGGAUCAAACAGGAUUAGAUACCCUGGUAGUCCACGCCGUAAACGAUGAGUGCUAAGUGUUAGGGGGUUUCCGCCCC
RNAcentral lists this ribosomal RNA (800 nucleotides) under Staphylococcus saprophyticus. Its description in RNAcentral is "bacterial SSU rRNA". It matches the Rfam family "Bacterial small subunit ribosomal RNA", at positions 56 to 839 of the family's 1533-position model. Lineage: Bacteria; Bacillati; Bacillota; Bacilli; Caryophanales; Staphylococcaceae. The record is from RNAcentral.